This is a transfer RNA of Camelus ferus (Wild Bactrian camel), 72 nucleotides long. It matches the Rfam family "tRNA". Rfam says of the family: Transfer RNA (tRNA) molecules are approximately 80 nucleotides in length. Their secondary structure includes four short double-helical elements and three loops (D, anti-codon, and T loops). Further hydrogen bonds mediate the characteristic L-shaped molecular structure. tRNAs have two regions of fundamental functional importance: the anti-codon, which is responsible for specific mRNA codon recognition, and the 3' end, to which the tRNAs corresponding amino acid is attached (by aminoacyl-tRNA synthetases). tRNAs cope with the degeneracy of the genetic code in two manners: having more than one tRNA (with a specific anti-codon) for a particular amino acid; and 'wobble' base-pairing, i.e. permitting non-standard base-pairing at the 3rd anti-codon position. NCBI's taxonomy places the organism in Eukaryota, Metazoa, Chordata, Mammalia, Artiodactyla, Camelidae. The record is from Rfam.
GAGGGUAUAGCUCAGUGGUAGAGUGUGUGUUUAGCAUACAUGGGGUCCUGGAUUCAAUCCCCAGUACCUCCA